This 441-nucleotide ribosomal RNA is filed under the name uncultured bacterium. Its description in RNAcentral is "partial 16S ribosomal RNA". It matches the Rfam family "Bacterial small subunit ribosomal RNA", at positions 338 to 795 of the family's 1533-position model. The record is from RNAcentral.
CCUACGGGUGGCAGCAGUGGGGAAUAUUGCACAAUGGGGGAAACCCUGAUGCAGCGACGCCGCGUGAGUGAUGAAGGAUUUCGGAUUGUAAAGUCCUAUCAUCAGGGAAGAAGAAAGACGAUACCUAACUAAGAAGCCCCGGCUAACUACGUGCCAGCAGCCGCGGUAAUACGUAGGUGGCAAGCUUUAUCCGGAUGUACUGGGUGUAAAGGGAGCGUAGGCGGGUGUUCAAGUCGGAAGUGAAAGCCCAGGGCUCAACCCUGGAACUGCUUUGGAAACUGUGAAGCUGGAGUGCGGGAGAGGUAAGUGGAAUUCCUAGUGUAGCGGUGAAAUGCGUAGAUAUUAGGAGGAACACCAGUGGCGAAGGCGGCUUACUGGAAAGUAACUGACGCUGAGGCACGAAAGCGUGGGGAGCAAACAGGAUUAGAUACCCUAGUAGUC